Molecule: ribosomal RNA, 472 nt
Filed under: uncultured bacterium
Lineage: Bacteria
Description: bacterial SSU rRNA
Rfam family: Bacterial small subunit ribosomal RNA
Source: RNAcentral
ACACAUGCAAGUCGAACGGAAAGGCCCUUUCGGGGGUGCUCGAGUGGCGAACGGGUGAGUAACACGUGGGUGAUCUGCCCUGCACUUUGGGAUAAGCCUGGGAAACUGGGUCUAAUACCGGAUAGGACCACGGGAUGCAUGUCUUGUGGUGGAAAGCUUUUGCGGUGUGGGAUGGGCCCGCGGCCUAUCAGCUUGUUGGUGGGGUGAUGGCCUACCAAGGCGACGACGGGUAGCCGGCCUGAGAGGGUGUCCGGCCACACUGGGACUGAGAUACGGCCCAGACUCCUACGGGAGGCAGCAGUGGGGAAUAUUGCACAAUGGGCGCAAGCCUGAUGCAGCGACGCCGCGUGGGGGAUGACGGCCUUCGGGUUGUAAACCUCUUUCACCAUCGACGAAGCUGCGGGGUUUCCCGUGGUGACGGUAGGUGGAGAAGAAGCACCGGCCAACUACGUGCCAGCCGCCGCCGUAACAC